GUGGGGAAUAUUGGACAAUGGGCGAAAGCCUGAUCCAGCCAUGCCGCGUGUGUGAAGAAGGUCUUCGGAUUGUAAAGCACUUUAAGUUGGGAGGAAGGGUAGUAACCUAAUACGUUGCUACUUUGACGUUACCGACAGAAUAAGCACCGGCUAACUUCGUGCCAGCAGCCGCGGUAAUACGAAGGGUGCAAGCGUUAAUCGGAAUUACUGGGCGUAAAGCGCGCGUAGGUGGUUCAGUAAGUUGGAAGUGAAAUCCCCGGGCUCAACCUGGGAACUGCUUUCAAAACUGCUGAGCUAGAGUACGGUAGAGGUUGGUGGAAUUUCCUGUGUAGCGGUGAAAUGCGUAGAUAUAGGAAGGAACACCAGUGGCGAAGGCGACCACCUGGACUGAUACUGACACUGAGGUGCGAAAGCGUGGGGAGCAAACAGGAUUAGAAACCCGGGUAGUCC
RNAcentral lists this ribosomal RNA (450 nucleotides) under uncultured bacterium. RNAcentral describes it as "partial 16S ribosomal RNA". It matches the Rfam family "Bacterial small subunit ribosomal RNA", at positions 354 to 796 of the family's 1533-position model. The record is from RNAcentral.